UAGCCGUUGGGAACGUGAGUCCUUGGUGGCGCAGCUAACGCACUAAGUAGACCGCCUGGGGAGUACGGCCGCAAGGUUAAAACUCAAAUGAAUUGACGGGGGCCCGCACAAGCGGUGGAGCAUGUGGUUUAAUUCGAUGCAACGCGAAGAACCUUACCAGGUCUUGACAUCCUUGGAAUCUUGCAGAGAUGCGAGAGUGCCUUCGGGAAUCAAGUGACAGGUGCUGCAUGGCUGUCGUCAGCUCGUGUCGUGAGAUGUUGGGUUAAGUCCCGUAACGAGCGCAACCCUUGUCCUUAGUUGCCAGCACAUUAUGGUGGGAACUCUAAGGAGACUGCCGGUGACAAACCGGAGGAAGGUGGGGGCGACGUCAAGUCAUCAUGGCCCUUACGACCUGGGCUACACACGUGCUACAAUGGAACGCACAGAGGGCAGCGAACCCGCGAGGGGGAGCGAAUCCCACAAAACGUUUCGUAGUCCGGAUCGCAGUCUGCAACUCGACUGCGUGAAGUCGGAAUCGCUAGUAAUCGCGAAUCAGAAUGUCGCGGUGAAUACGUUCCCGGGCCUUGUACACACCGCCCGUCACACCAUGGGAGUGGGUUGCUCCAGAAGUGGUUAGCCUAACCUUCGGGAGGGCGAUCACCAC
Molecule: ribosomal RNA, 643 nt
Filed under: uncultured bacterium
Lineage: Bacteria
Description: bacterial SSU rRNA
Rfam family: Bacterial small subunit ribosomal RNA
Source: RNAcentral